GAUCCCUAACAUAGAAUACAUAAAGAGUUGUGGGGUUAGUUACUCACAGAUCGUUAAAUUUUUGUUUACCUUUCCACGUUUGUUUCUUAUCAAGCCAGAUAACAUGAAGGAUUUUGUUAGAAGGGUCGAUGAGAUGGGUGUUGAUAGGAAAUCUAAGGUGUUUCUUCCUGCUAUUAGGGUGAUGAGUUCCAUAACUGAAGAGAAUUGGGAUCACAAGCUGAAACUAUUGAGGGAACUGGGAUUUUCAGAGGAGAAUAUUUUGUCUGUUUUUAGGAGGGUACCUCAAGCACUCGGAGUAUUUGAGAGGAAGAUUAAGGAAGUAAUUCAGUUGUUGCGAAGUGUUGAGAACAGGGACAUCUCUUGUAUUAUUUGCCACCCGGAGUUGCUUGUAUGCAGUGUUAACCAGAGGCUAAAGCCCCGACUAGAGGUUAUUAAGGUCCUGGAAAUUGCUCAAGAAAAAACCUAGUCUGUCUGCAACUUGUAAGAUUACUAAUGCACAGUUCUUGCGCAAAUAUGUAAUUCCUUAUUCAAAUGAAGUUGGGGACUUGUAUAUGGCUAAUCACGGCUCAUAGCCAAGAGAAUCUGUAUUACUGGUUGUCUUGAUCAUUCAAAGGAAGGUGUUGUUACAUAUCUAACUAUAUGAUUUAUGAUAAUUUUGGGGAAUUCA
This 667-nucleotide unclassified non-coding RNA is filed under the name Hevea brasiliensis (rubber tree). The record is from RNAcentral. Lineage: Eukaryota; Viridiplantae; Streptophyta; Magnoliopsida; Malpighiales; Euphorbiaceae.